CAGCCGCCGCGGUAAUACGUAGGUGGCAAGCGUUGUCCGGAAUUAUUGGGCGUAAAGGGCUCGCAGGCGGUUUCUUAAGUCUGAUGUGAAAGCCCCCGGCUCAACCGGGGAGUGUCAUUGGAAACUGGGAAACUUGAGUGCAGAAGAGGAGAGUGGAAUUCCACGUGUAGCGGUUAAAUGCGUAGAGAUGUGGAGGAACACCAGUGGCGAAGGCGACUCUCUGGUCUGUAGCUGACGCUGAGGAGCGAAAGCGUGGGGAGCGAACAGGAUUAGAUACCCCAGUAGUCCCUGUCUCUUAUAC
Molecule: ribosomal RNA, 301 nt
Filed under: uncultured bacterium
Lineage: Bacteria
Description: partial 16S ribosomal RNA
Rfam family: Bacterial small subunit ribosomal RNA
Source: RNAcentral